AUCGCUUCAGCUUACUGGCCUGAGAAGUCACAGUUGAGUGCGACACUUUAAAAUGCACCAAACGGUAAUGGCGUGCGUGCCUCUCAUCAAACGUGAGUGACAGAGCGGCUGGAUCCCUUGGCCUCGGGAGUCCCAGGAGUCUGUCUGGUAGGAGCUCGGCCCCAAGAACCCUCUCCUCAUGGCACACACUCCACCCCACAGGCUGUUGUCCCCAUGUCCCAAGCCCGCUCCUCCUCCCCUCUUCACACCUCUUCUGGGCCAGAGAUCCAGCUCCACCUCCUUGAUGGCCCUCUCUGCACUGCGACACUCCACGCAGUUCCCAUCCUUUGCCUGCUGCCUGCCUGCUAAUCGGGAUUGGUGGGGAGGAACGAAUCGCUGUGAGCCAUGGCCUUCCUCUGGAGCCUACAGAACUGGGCCAAGGUCACUCACAUCACUCUUACGCUACUGCUGCCCACAGCAAACCGGGAGAAAGAGAAAGUGAGGGAUGCAGGAGUUAAAGGAAACAGAGAUAAGGCUGCUGCUGAGCAGGGCUCCGCAGUCAAAUGAGGUCUCAUAAAUUGAAAAGAACACAAGUCAAUAGCAACGCUGGAGUU
Molecule: long non-coding RNA, 593 nt
Organism: Oreochromis aureus
Lineage: Eukaryota; Metazoa; Chordata; Actinopteri; Cichliformes; Cichlidae
Exons: 3
Source: RefSeq, a predicted model, not a curated record